This 23-nucleotide non-coding RNA is filed under the name Arabidopsis thaliana (thale cress). Lineage: Eukaryota; Viridiplantae; Streptophyta; Magnoliopsida; Brassicales; Brassicaceae. The record is from RNAcentral.
AUACGCUGGUAUUAACUUCCAAC